UACAUUUUAUAUGAAAAGAGUUUCCUACUGUAUUGCCAUAAUGAGUUGAUUUCAGAUAGUCUAGUCAUAUGGUCGAAUGAUAAGGUUUGGCGAGUAAUCAUGACCUUAGUUCGAUUGGGACAUUGUAUGUUGGAAGGAAUUAAUCACAUGGUAACUGAAAGCGGAAAGGUUCAUUCUUCAUCAACAUUCUAGAUUGCCGUGAUAUACUGCUAGGUGUCACUCACAGACGGUGAGAGAAUAUAAAUGAUUUGAAUUGAAUUGUUCUUAUUUAUUGAUUAGAAGAGUUCUAAUUAAAUAUCAAAGAGUUUGAUGUUGAGCUCCACUGCCGAAUGGUAAUAAACCUAUGCAAUCACACACAUUAGGAAUUGUGUGCACCUGAAUCGUUUGGAUGAAAGUCGUUCACUAAAUAGUUUAGUAUAAGCGAUGAAAAUAAAAAGAAGCUGCUUAAUUAAAUUAGAUUUAAUUAUUCAAUUCGGUUAUAACUGAUAGUCCUAAUUAGAUUAAGAUCUCAGAAUCAGUUUGAGAAUUAUGCGCGAAAUUUAAAUUUAUCUCUAAUUAGAUUAGUGGAUAAUAUUUAAUCAUAAAAGAUAUUUAAAUGAGAUUUAAAUAUUAGUAAGUAAUCUUACUAGAUAAGAUUAAAAUU
Molecule: long non-coding RNA, 643 nt
Filed under: Ananas comosus (pineapple)
Lineage: Eukaryota; Viridiplantae; Streptophyta; Magnoliopsida; Poales; Bromeliaceae
Description: long non-coding RNA (ACOM_LNC009303)
Source: RNAcentral